GGGUGAGGGCGAGCCCGCAGUGGAACCAGACCCUGUUCCUCAUCACGUACGACGAGCAUGGUGGGUUCUUCGAUCACGUGCCCACGCCCGUGCGUGGGGUGCCCAGCCCUGAUGGGAUUGUGGGCCCCGAGCCUUUUAACUUCACCUUUGAUAGGUUGGGAGUCAGGGUUCCCACUAUUGCUAUCUCACCUUGGAUCGAAAAGGGCACAGUUGUGCAUGGGCCAAAUGGGUCACCGUCUCCUACAUCGGAAUAUGAACACUCAUCUAUUCCAGCAACAGUAAAAAAACUCUUUAACUUGCCUUCAUUCCUGACCAAGAGAGAUGCUUGGGCUGGAACCUUUGAGGGCAUUGUUCAGACCAGGAAAGAACCAAGGACUGAUUGCCCAGAGACACUUCCAGACCCUGUAAAGAUCAGGAAGACAGGGCCUAAUGAAGAUGCCAACCUCAGUGAAUUUCAGCUAUC
Non-coding RNA from Cajanus cajan (pigeon pea), 463 nucleotides. The record is from RefSeq and is a predicted model, not a curated record. Lineage: Eukaryota; Viridiplantae; Streptophyta; Magnoliopsida; Fabales; Fabaceae.